GUGUCAGCCGCCGCGGUAAUACGUAGGGUGCAAGCGUUACUCGGAAUUACUAGGCGUGAAGCGCGUGUAGGCGGGUUCCUAAGUCUAUCGUGAAAUUUCACAGCUCAACUGUGAAAGGUCGAUAGAUACUGGGAAUCUAGAGUGAGGCAGGGGGAACCGGAAUUCCCGGUGUAGCGGUGAAAUGCGUAGAUAUCGGGAGGAACGCCGAAGGCGAAAGCGGGUUCCUGGGCCUAUACUGACGCUGAGACGCGAAAGCUAGGGGAGCAAACAGGAUUAGAUACCCUGGUAGUCCUAGCCGUAAACGAUGUAGACUAGGUGUGGGAGGUAUCGACCCCUUCCGUGCCGCAGCUAACGCGUUAAGUCUACCGCCUGGGGAGUACGGCCGCAAGGUUAAAACUCAAAUGAAUUGACGGGG
This 415-nucleotide ribosomal RNA is filed under the name uncultured prokaryote. RNAcentral describes it as "bacterial SSU rRNA". It matches the Rfam family "Bacterial small subunit ribosomal RNA", at positions 505 to 918 of the family's 1533-position model. The record is from RNAcentral.